Molecule: ribosomal RNA, 253 nt
Filed under: uncultured bacterium
Lineage: Bacteria
Description: partial 16S ribosomal RNA
Rfam family: Bacterial small subunit ribosomal RNA
Source: RNAcentral
UACGUAGGGGGCGAGCGUUGUCCGGAAUCAUUGGGCGUAAAGCGCGUGUAGGCGGCCGAACAAGUCCGAUGUGAAAGCUCGGGGCUCAACCCCGAGUCCGCAUUGGAAACUGUGCGGCUAGAGUCCGGAAGAGGAGACUGGAAUUCCUGGUGUAGCGGUGAAAUGCGCAGAUAUCAGGAAGAACACCGGUGGCGAAGGCGGGUCUCUGGGACGGUACUGACGCUGAGACGCGAAAACGUGGGGAGCAAACAGG